RNAcentral lists this ribosomal RNA (178 nucleotides) under uncultured bacterium. Its description in RNAcentral is "partial 16S ribosomal RNA". It matches the Rfam family "Bacterial small subunit ribosomal RNA", at positions 118 to 283 of the family's 1533-position model. The record is from RNAcentral.
UGGGUAACCUGCCUCAAAGAGGGGAAUAGCCUCCCGAAAGGGAGAUUAAUACCGCAUAAUAUGUUUAAGUCGCAUGACUUUAACAUCAAAGGAUUUUCUUUUAGAAAUUCCACUUUGAGAUGGACCCGCGGCGCAUUAGCUAGUUGGUGAGGUAACGGCUCACCAAGGCAACGAUGCG